This is a non-coding RNA of Epinephelus moara (kelp grouper), 487 nucleotides long. NCBI's taxonomy places the organism in Eukaryota, Metazoa, Chordata, Actinopteri, Perciformes, Serranidae. The record is from the annotation of a RefSeq genome assembly.
UACAUUGAUGCUUCAUAUGUUUGAUUCUAUGCAAACUCAGUGAGCUUCCUUGUUACUCAGCUAUAAAAGCAUCACAUCAGGCUGUCAGUGGAGUUCACAGCACGUCAGUUUCAACAUAAACCAUGUUCUCUGUAGCUCUGCUGCUGCUGUUGGCAGCUGGAUGUGUGAAGUGUGAACAGUUGACACAGCCAGCCUCUGUGACUGUGCAGCCAGGUCAACGUCUGACCAUCACCUGUCAGGUCUCUUAUUCUAUGGACAGCUACUACACAGCUUGGAUCAGACAGCCUGCAGGGAAAGGACUGGAGUGGAUUGGAAUGAAAUCAACUGGAUACUCAUACUAUAAAGAUUCACUGAAGAACAAGUUCAGUAUCAGCUUAGACUCUUCCAGCAACACAGUGACUCUAAACGGACAGAAUGUGCAGCCUGAAGACACUGCUGUGUAUUACUGUGCCAGAGAGCCACAGUGACACAAAGCAUCAGUAGACCU